This 433-nucleotide ribosomal RNA is filed under the name uncultured bacterium. RNAcentral's name for it is "partial 16S ribosomal RNA". It matches the Rfam family "Bacterial small subunit ribosomal RNA", at positions 29 to 507 of the family's 1533-position model. The record is from RNAcentral.
AACGAACGCUGGCGGCAUGCCUAACACAUGCAAGUCGAACGAAGGCUUCGGCCUUAGUGGCGCACGGGUUCGUAACGCGUGGGAAUCUGCCCUUAGGUUCGGAAUAACAGUUAGAAAUGACUGCUAAUACCGGCUGAUGACGUAAGUCCAAAGAUUUAUCGCCUGAGGAUGAGCCCGCGUAGGAUUAGCUAGUUGGUGUGGUAAAGGCGCACCAAGGCGACGAUCCUUAGCUGGUCUGAGAGGAUGAUCAGCCACACUGGGACUGAGACACGGCCCAGACUCCUACGGGAGGCAGCGGUGGGGAAUAUUGGACAAUGGGCGCAAGCCUGAUCCAGCAAUGCCGCGUGAGUGAUGAAGGCCUUAGGGUUGUAAAGCUCUUUUACCCGUGAUGAUAAUGACAGUAGCGGGAGAAUAAGCCCCGGCUAACUCCGUG